Molecule: transfer RNA, 37 nt
Filed under: Mironasutitermes shangchengensis
Lineage: Eukaryota; Metazoa; Arthropoda; Insecta; Blattodea; Termitidae
Description: partial tRNA-Leu
Source: RNAcentral
GCUUUAAUACUCAUAAUAAAGUUUAACUUUCAUUAGA